Molecule: non-coding RNA, 98 nt
Organism: Acanthosepion pharaonis
Lineage: Eukaryota; Metazoa; Mollusca; Cephalopoda; Sepiida; Sepiidae
Source: the annotation of a GenBank genome assembly
GUUGAAACACCGGUUCUCGUAAGCUCACCAAAGUUAAGCAACGUCGAACCUGGUCAGUAUCUAGAUAGGUGGCCGCUUGGGAAUACCAGAUACUGUAA